UACGUAGGGGGCAAGCGUUGUCCGGAUUCACUGGGCGUAAAGGGCGCGUAGGCGGCCUGUUAAGUGUAUAGCGAAAGCCCGGGGCUCAACCCCGGAGGUGCUGUGCAUACUGGCAGGCUUGAGGGAUGCAGAGGCUUGUGGAAUUCCUGGUGUAGCGGUGAAAUGCAUUGAUAUCAGGAGGAACGCCCAUGGCGAAGGCAGCCAGCUGGGCAGCAUCUGACGCUGAGGCGCGAAUGCGUGGGGAGCAAACAGG
RNAcentral lists this ribosomal RNA (253 nucleotides) under uncultured bacterium. RNAcentral describes it as "partial 16S ribosomal RNA". It matches the Rfam family "Bacterial small subunit ribosomal RNA", at positions 524 to 776 of the family's 1533-position model. The record is from RNAcentral.